This is a long non-coding RNA of Triticum aestivum (bread wheat), 847 nucleotides long. RefSeq lists it as uncharacterized. The record is from RefSeq and is a predicted model, not a curated record. Lineage: Eukaryota; Viridiplantae; Streptophyta; Magnoliopsida; Poales; Poaceae. The transcript is spliced from 2 exons.
UAUGAUUUUCUUUUCUAAUCCAAGUUAUAAAAACAUAGCUCGUAUUUCUUUUCACCCCUAAAAAAGCUCGUAUUUCUUUUCUUCUCAAGAAAAAAAGUACGUAAUAAAAUACGUAGCUCAUAGGGUCUACAGGUUCUGAACUUAUCCUUAGGCCUCGUUCGAUCCCCACAGAACUCCCGAGCCGCCGACCCACAUGAGCCAUUUCUUCCGAUUUGCCGCCGGUGAAGAAAGGUGGGCGGGUGAGUCCAUGAGUCCGUAAGGUGUGAAUCCACGCCAACCUCGUUGAGUCUAGCGGAGCGGCAGGGAGGGCCAUUGCGAGCGCGGCGCGCUGCUGAACCGGCGGCUAGUGGCUGUGGUGGAGAUGCUGGAGGUUGGUGGCACCGAGGAGGCGGUGAGGGAGCACCGGUUCACGGAUUUUCUGGACGAAAUCAUGCGAUUCGGUCUAAGUUUGUUGGUGGCAAGGCAACAAUGUCAGCGCAACAAAUGUCCCAAAAAGAAUGGUUGUUCGGAUGGAGGAUGCUGAAGAAUGGCUGGAUGGACAGAGGAUGGCCUGCUGCGAUGGUCCAUGGGAGGUAUGGGGGUAACAGAGGCAAGAUGCAUAUAAGGAGACCGUUGGAUAAUCAAAUAGCAGCAAGAUGUUAGUGGCUUCUGGGGACGGCAUGGCUCCUACAAAAUGUGAAGUACCAGCUAAUGGUAUGCAAUCUUCCAUUGUGGUUCCUCCAUAUCACUAUUGAGUAUGUUUUUUAGUUUUUUUUUACGGGUUGAUAUUUUUUUAGUUGUUGUUCCUAUGUGUUAGUAAGAAAGCUUUCAUUUAUCUCCAUGAUUGUAAAGCCGGUGAUCCCCAGCA